Long non-coding RNA from Chroicocephalus ridibundus (black-headed gull), 3027 nucleotides. RefSeq lists it as uncharacterized. The transcript is spliced from 3 exons. NCBI's taxonomy places the organism in Eukaryota, Metazoa, Chordata, Aves, Charadriiformes, Laridae. The record is from RefSeq and is a predicted model, not a curated record.
AGGAGGAGGAGGAGGAGGAGGAGGAAGGCCCCGCGCUCCAGCGCCGCAGCCAUGGCGGCCGCUGCCGCACCGCCCCUAGCAACGGCGCCGUUACCAAGGAGCGCGGGGCAUCACGGGAAGUGCGUGUCCGCCCCGCCCCGGAGCAUCACGGGAAACAGGGGGUCUGCGGCCGCCGGGCAUGAUGGGAAGUGGGUCGCGCGGCCCGGGCGCCAUGGCGGGCGGCGAGGGGAGGCCGGGCCCUGGCCAGGCCGCCAUCUCCCGCCUCCCUGUGCCUCCCGCUGCGCAGGGAGGGCCGCGGCGGGGCUGAACGCUGGGCCUUUGGCUAAACUUGGUCUCCUGUGAGGCCACCCCGCUUGCCUGGACUCACUGGUGCUGUCGUGGUGGCCUGAGGUGUCCGCUCGCACCACCCAGCCCCUUCAGAAAGAGCCCAGUGUGGUGGUAAUCCAGCUGUCAGUGGCCCGGCAGUAGCAAGCCGAAGGAAAAGCCUAAGAAAGGGCUUAAGGUGUAGCUACAUAAAUGUAAGCCAUAUACAUGUUCUGGGUAAAAAUGCUAUUGGAAGGCCAUACACGAAAAAAAUGGUGGGGAAUGGCUCCUUGUGAGCUAUAAAAUCCUCUGUUUAGCAUGUUUUUGCUAAUAUUUUGGGGUUUAAUAAUCUGCUUAAACUAAUUUUUAAAGUCUUACCAAUUUCUUUCUCCUUUUGAAAAUGCCACGGGUUCUUACUGCUCAGUGUGCAUAUUCAUUAAUUAAUUUGUUAGUAAUCUUGCAAUAUCUAGAGGUAUUUUUAUGCUAAUUUGGAAAAACUGAGCUAAAGAGUGACUACAUGAUAAAGUUCUUUAAGGUACCUUACAAAUGUUAAUAUCUGGGCUUCAGUUCCAACUAAGAGACAACUUUUUAAAAUCAGUCUUGCUGAAGUUUGUUUUGUGCGUUAUCUGAUCAAAAGCAACUGUACAACAUUUGUUGGUGCAUCAGCCUGACAAGUACAUUGUUACACAGUGUUUCUUAUUUUCCUGACCAGGUUUGUUCCUAUCCUCUUGAAGGAAAGCCAAUAAAAGCUUUAAGACCACAAGAGGGCACGUUCUGUUUUUAUGUUUAAUAAACUUGACUGCUCCCUGUGGCAGUCACAACAUCUGAACAGCCCAACUUCAUGCUAGCGUACAAAUUUUGUAUGUUAAAAGAUGUUCCAGCUGCUUCUAUUGAAAACUGAAAUAAUUCCAUGGUGCAUACAGCAUCUUUGUCACUUCUUUGCACUGUCCUCUGCUGUACAAGAGCCAUUAUCAACAAAGGUGUUGAUGACUUACACAAGACAAUUUUCUGCCUUGCACAGCAUGAGACUGCCAAGGUCAUUUUAUAUUAUCAAAGAGCUGGAACUUAGGAUGGGUUUGAAAUAGCUCCAUAUCACACAGCAACAUCCUGGUGUCCUCCUUCCCCUCGGAGAGACCUCAUUUUCUAAGGACAUGGUGACAUGAAGAAUUACUUUGCAAAGCUGAUGGUGCACAGGGGACUAGACUCCUAGAUGAAAACCAAGCCUUGCUGAAACCUGGGAGCUAUUCCCACAGAUUGCACCCUGAAUGCAUGUGGGCAGGAGCUGGAUGAAUAAGGAGGAGCCAAGUGAUUCUCUGAAUGAAAAACAAUAGCAAUUUUUCAUCUGGGCGCCGCGUCAUCGUGCAGGAGUGAAAGAGUUCAGCAAAGGUUACUAAUUAUCAUGUAAAUGAUGUUGUCUUCCUUGGCUGUCUGGGCAGACCUGGGUGGGUGAGCAGGGAUGGAGGGAGUACGAACUGCUCACGGCGUGCCUUGGCUUUGGGAGCCCGUACCGAAACACAGAGUCACGCUCUGCCAAGUGUGUGGGACAGCCUUGCGCUCAUGCUGAGUAUCUCAAUCUGCGAGCCAUGGCCGAUCGGCAAAGCGGUACGGAGAGCUUCCUGUCCAGCUCUGGGGAACACGUUGCGAUGAGGCAGAACGGAGAACUCGGGUUUAGUGGGAAGUGUGGUGGGGGAUCACAGGCUGAGAUGCAAUGCACACCCAGCCGCUGAAGGACAGAUCACCUUGCGCUAACCAGAGCUGCCUCAGGGCACCGUGGCACUUCAGGCAUUAUUGAAAUCUGCUGCAUUCAAGAAAAAUACCUUAGGCAAGGCUGGACUUACCCUGAGAGGGACCUGGACAAGAAGGAGGAAGAAUAAGGGCAGGGAAAGAGUGACUCUGUGGGGGAAACUCUGAAGUAUGUGCUUCCCUUUCCCGGUAGAGAUAUGGGAGGGGGUGAGGCAGCAAUGUUUGCUGCUGUGGAGAUCCACCUUCUGUUUGUCAUCUCACACACCCUGACGGGCCUUGGCAGCAGCACACUUAUCUCCAGCAUGUUGGCAAAUUCGGCUCUACGGCAGUUUCCUAAUUCACCAAGGCUGGGCCUGGGCUGCUCUUUGUGUUCCCUGCACUUUCCUUCUCUCCAUUCUAAUGGGCAGGUGAAUUUUUUAAUAAGUUGGAAUACAAUUUCAGCUUUAGGCAGAAAAUGUUCAGGCAUUGCUUAAGCCUUUAGCAGUUUAAAGGGGAGGAAUAUUGUCUCCGUCAACAUACACAGCGAGUGAAAUGCCUACCAUCUCUUAAUGCUAUUAUAAUGACGUGCUUCAAUAACGUUCCUCGUGGGUUGGGUCGGUGGAAUACGCCGCACAGCUUUUCCUUUCACUGGCGUCAGCUUGGGGUUCAGGUUUCACACCUACCUCUGCUUUAUUUACACCUGCCUAUUGUUUUUGUUAUUUACAUAUCUCAGGUUGUUGAAUGCAGCAGUAGCAGCCUUUUUAUGCCUGUGUAUGCGGAGGCAUUAAAUUAAUUUGCGCUUGUCGUGCAGAGCUGCCUGCUCAGAGCUUCCAGAGAGACAAGCCAUUUUGCACGCCCACAAGCGGCAUGGAAAACUGAGCUGCAAAAAGAGAAGGAAUUGGGCUUUUUUGAACAUGGUGGGUCUUUAAAGUGUGGAUGCCUUGAAGUUGUUGGUGGCUUUGAAGUCAUCUGGGGGGACACCCUAAAGCCAUCUCACCGCCU